GCCUCCCUCGCCGCCAUCAGACUCCUACGGGGGCAGGCAGUGGGGAAUCGUUGCGCAAUGCGCGAAAGCGUGACGCAGCAACGCCGCGUGGGGGAAGACGGGCCUUCGGGUUGUAAACCCCGUUUCAACGUUUGGGACGAAGCUCUGCCGGUGAAUAGCCGGUUAGAGUGACGGUACCUUCAGAAGAAGCCCCGGCUAACCCACGUGCCAGCCGCCGCGGUAAUAC
Molecule: ribosomal RNA, 226 nt
Filed under: uncultured bacterium
Lineage: Bacteria
Description: partial 16S ribosomal RNA
Rfam family: Bacterial small subunit ribosomal RNA
Source: RNAcentral